CAGGAUUCUAUUCCUAUUAGUGACAAUUGCGAGCAACAAGAAGUCAAUGAAUAUGAAGUUCCAAUGCUUGAUUUUGCAACUCAAGAAUCCAAUCUUAGCGCUGGUACCCAAGUAUCAAUUUAUGGUACAAGUGUAACUUUGCAAAAUGGCUUUUCUUUCACUCAAAUGCUCCAGGAAAUUUCAAUGAAUCAUGCUAAUUCUUCACAAAGUAAUGAAGAAGGCAAAAAGCAGCUGGGAAGUUGAAGAUAUGCAGAAAAUUACUUUUUUUAUUUGUUGAAUUGUGUUAGUGCCAUUUAUAUUGCAUAGACACUGG
This is a long non-coding RNA of Rosa rugosa (rugosa rose), 313 nucleotides long. RefSeq lists it as uncharacterized. The transcript is spliced from 3 exons. The record is from RefSeq and is a predicted model, not a curated record. NCBI's taxonomy places the organism in Eukaryota, Viridiplantae, Streptophyta, Magnoliopsida, Rosales, Rosaceae.